This 74-nucleotide transfer RNA is filed under the name Candidatus Dojkabacteria bacterium. Its description in RNAcentral is "tRNA-Thr". It matches the Rfam family "tRNA". From Rfam's summary of the family: Transfer RNA (tRNA) molecules are approximately 80 nucleotides in length. Their secondary structure includes four short double-helical elements and three loops (D, anti-codon, and T loops). The record is from RNAcentral.
GGGCAUAUAGCUCAAUCUGGUAGAGCGCAAGAUCGGUAAUCUUGAGAUUAUCGGUUCAAAUCCGAUUAUGCCCA